UACGGGGGGGGCAAGCGUUGUUCGGAAUUACUGGGCGUAAAGGGCGCGUAGGCGGUCCGCUAAGUUGGAUGUGAAAACUCUGGGCUUAACCCAGAGCCUGCAUUCAAAACUGACGGGCUAGAGUUCUGGAGGGGGUAGCGGAAUUCCUGGUGUAGCGGUGAAAUGCGUAGAUAUCAGGAGGAACACCGGUGGCGAAGGCGGCUACCUGGACAGAAACUGACGCUGAGGCACGAAAGCUAGGGGAGCAAACAGG
This 253-nucleotide ribosomal RNA is filed under the name uncultured bacterium. Its description in RNAcentral is "partial 16S ribosomal RNA". It matches the Rfam family "Bacterial small subunit ribosomal RNA", at positions 524 to 776 of the family's 1533-position model. The record is from RNAcentral.